UAGGGAAUCUUCCGCAAUGGACGCAAGUCUGACGGAGCAACGCCGCGUGAGUGAAGAAGGAUUUCGGUUCGUAAAACUCUGUUGUUAGAGAAGAACAGCGCAUAGAGUAACUGUUAUGCGUGUGACGGUAUCUAACCAGAAAGCCACGGCUAACUACGUGCCAGCAGCUGCGGUAAUACGUAGGUGGCAAGCGUUGUCCGGAUUUAUUGGGCGUAAAGCGAGCGCAGGCGGUCAAUUAAGUCUGAUGUGAAAGCCCCCGGCUCAACCGGGGAGGGUCAUUGGAAACUGGUUGACUUGAGUGCAGAAGAGGAGAGUGGAAUUCCAUGUGUAGCGGUGAAAUGCGUAGAUAUAUGGAGGAACACCGGUGGCGAAGGCGACUCUCUGGUCUGUAACUGACGCUGAGGCUCGAAAGCGUGGGUAGCAAACAGG
Molecule: ribosomal RNA, 429 nt
Filed under: Bacteroidota bacterium
Lineage: Bacteria; Pseudomonadati; Bacteroidota
Description: Bacteroidetes bacterium partial 16S ribosomal RNA
Rfam family: Bacterial small subunit ribosomal RNA
Source: RNAcentral